This 844-nucleotide ribosomal RNA is filed under the name Kingella kingae. RNAcentral describes it as "bacterial SSU rRNA". It matches the Rfam family "Bacterial small subunit ribosomal RNA", at positions 688 to 1533 of the family's 1533-position model. The record is from RNAcentral. Lineage: Bacteria; Pseudomonadati; Pseudomonadota; Betaproteobacteria; Neisseriales; Neisseriaceae.
GCGUAGAGAUGUGGAGGAAUACCGAUGGCGAAGGCAGCCCCCUGGGGUAACACUGACGUUCAUGCUCGAAAGCGUGGGUAGCAAACAGGAUUAGAUACCCUGGUAGUCCACGCCCUAAACGAUGUCAAUUAGCUGUUGGGCAACUUGAUUGCUUAGUAGCGUAGCUAACGCGUGAAAUUGACCGCCUGGGGAGUACGGUCGCAAGAUUAAAACUCAAAGGAAUUGACGGGGACCCGCACAAGCGGUGGAUGAUGUGGAUUAAUUCGAUGCAACGCGAAGAACCUUACCUGGUCUUGACAUGUACGGAAUCUUUCAGAGACGGAAGAGUGCCUUCGGGAACCGUAACACAGGUGCUGCAUGGCUGUCGUCAGCUCGUGUCGUGAGAUGUUGGGUUAAGUCCCGCAACGAGCGCAACCCUUGUCAUUAGUUGCCAUCAUUAAGUUGGGCACUCUAAUGAGACUGCCGGUGACAAACCGGAGGAAGGUGGGGAUGACGUCAAGUCCUCAUGGCCCUUAUGACCAGGGCUUCACACGUCAUACAAUGGUCGGUACAAAGGGUAGCCAAGCCGCGAGGUGGAGCCAAUCCCAGAAAACCGAUCGUAGUCCGGAUUGCACUCUGCAACUCGAGUGCAUGAAGUCGGAAUCGCUAGUAAUCGCAGGUCAGCAUACUGCGGUGAAUACGUUCCCGGGUCUUGUACACACCGCCCGUCACACCAUGGGAGUGGGGGAUACCAGAAGUAGAUAGGGUAACCGCAAGGAGCCCGUUUACCACGGUAUGUUUCAUGACUGGGGUGAAGUCGUAACAAGGUAGCCGUAGGGGAACCUGCGGCUGGAUCACCUCCUUU